Camelina sativa (false flax) is the source of this 1167-nucleotide long non-coding RNA. RefSeq lists it as uncharacterized. The record is from RefSeq and is a predicted model, not a curated record. NCBI's taxonomy places the organism in Eukaryota, Viridiplantae, Streptophyta, Magnoliopsida, Brassicales, Brassicaceae.
CAGCUAAAAAAUGUUUGGUGGAAAUUAGAGUAGACACAAAACUUUGAAGGAGAUAACGAACCAGUUUGGUCCUAAACCCUUUGGUUACUUAACAACUGACACUUGGCUAGUUUGGUCCUAAACCCUUUGGUUACUUAAGUGACACUUGGGUUCCACUCUCUCCUUCUUUUAUAGUUGUCACUUCACUUGUCAGGGAGUCAGAGCGAAUCUAACCCUAAAAUCGGGAUUCCUCUUUCAAUCUUCGAUCAAGUCUGGUUCUUCAUCCAUUGGUUACGCAAUGUCUGUAGAAUUGAGUUAAACCCCUAAUUCUUCCGGUUCGAAUUCCACUCGUGCUCAAAAGAUCAGCCCCAAAUCCAGACCAUGUUUCCGGUUCUGAAGAGAUGAUGAGCCUUGUUUCAGAUUUACUUGUCGGACGAGAAUUACAUCUCUUCGAAGCUGGCUGUCGAGAAUUUUACUGUUCCUGCUCACAACGAGCCUAAACGUCGAGAUAAAAGAUCAUCCAUGGCCACAAACCUUAAACGCUUCAGUUAAUCAUCCAUGGUCACAACUGUGCUUUCUGCUUUACUAUGUAUGUCUAUUCUAAUGUACAUAUAUGAUGAAAAGGAUCGGAUCGAAAUCGUGACGAUAAUUAAGGUUGCUCUAUGUUUUUUCUUCGGCUUCCUGUAUGCGCUAUGUAAGUCCUAUGUGUGCGGUGAACCUGAAGUAAAGGAACUGACGGUCGACUGUUCAAAAAGACUUCAUUGCCUCUUACCCUGCAUCGCCAAAGCCGGCUUGCUCAACUUUGGGUCAGGAAUUGAGUGUUUAUUUGAGAUCCUUUAGUAUAUUAAGGAAGUCGAGACUAUUGGAGGGGCUUAAUUAUGCUUGAUUGUGGUUUGUGAAGCAGAGGUGAUAACUCUGUUGGCGACUAAUUACAUAUGAGUUUCUUAGAUGCUUAUUUAGAUUCUAGAAAAUAUCCAUCCAGAUUUCGAUAUUAGGGUUCUUGUUUUGUAAUGGUGGAUAGUUUAGAGUUACAAACUCUAUCAGUCCCUCUGUUCUAUUUAAAUGCAGUGUGGUAGUAGUCCUGAUAAUUCUGGUUUUGUAAAUGAACUCCUAUGUAUGUCGUUAUAACGACAAACUCUAUCAGUCCCUCUGUUCUAUUUAAAUGCAGUGUAGUAGUAGUCCUGAUAA